ACUGCGGGGUUCGUCUCCUCUGCGGGAAGGACGGACGGGGCAGCGGCUUGCGGGUCCACAUGCUCAGUCGUGUGGCACGAGGGGUAUGCAGGACCAGGAAGUGGGCUCCAGGCUGGCGCCCCGGUGAUGAGAAGACACCAGCUCCCUUCGGGAGGUGCCAGAGAUGCGUUCACCUGCAGUGACGGGUUCACAGCGGGCGUUCCUUAAGCAGCAUCUGUGGUCACACACUGCCAGAGACGCUGUCAGAAACAGAGCAGGGCCCGGUCUGCCCGAAGCUGGGCUCCUGGUCAGGCGGCGAGGCCGCGAAGGAAGCAGCGGUCUGGAUCGCUCAUUUUUCAUCCGUCUGCCUGUGCAGCUCGGCUGAGAACAGUGUACUUCGUUUCAGUUCAGCCAAGAAAGAGACAUCCAAAGAGCUGGAGAUGUGACAUCGGUCAGUGCGUAUACAAAGUGUCGACCUGACCCAGAGGAGGUGGCUGCCCCUGUACUGACCAAGCCACGCUGGCCUUGGAGAGACACAUCACCCUGCUCAGGAGGCCGGAAUCGUGGCUCUUAAUGGUGAUCUGUGGAUAAGGUGAAAGGCUUCCAAGAUGUUUUGGAUAUGGCCACGAGUUCAGAGAUGGAGCCGAUUCAUACAGAAACUCGUGACACACGGGUAGGAAUUAUGUCUUCAAUCAUAUCUUCAGAAGCUGGCCCCGUGAGUGUCAAGCUUUCCGCCCUGCCCGGUGGCUUUCAGGGAGAUGGUCCGGGACAGAUUGUGGACCUGGUAUCCUGAGCGGGCAGUAGCCCUGUGCAGCGAUUUUAAAGACACUCAUGUGUCUAAUGAAAUUCUAGUUUUCUCUGUCCUUUCUUCCAGAAAUUUGAAAUUGAGUAUAGGAGGUUUGAAUUCUAGUCUUUGGGAGAAAAUAAGGUAAAAAGUUCCAUGCAGUUAUAUUGGAAUACUUGAAUGAAAGCCCAUUAGAAAUAUAGUUGCAGAAAAACUGUAAUGGUCACAUGAAGUAAAGUUUUGGGCCAUUUUUUUUUUAAAGUAGAGAAGUGUGAGAUAGACAUGUUGCUUCAGAUUUAGCUGGAAAAUGGAUUAUACUUGUUUUAUCCAAUGUAAACUUUCUCCCCACAUUUCACUGAAGUUAAUGAUUUCAUGGUUUAACCUAUCUAGUGUUUCCCGUAUUUCCAACCAUUCAUCUAUUUCACAAUUUUAGAGAAGGUGUAUAUAUUUUAAGUAGGUGUGUAUGUGUAACAAAUCAGCAUCAAACUCAAAAUUAAAUCAGGAAACGGGGCUAAUGGGUGCCUGAGUGAAAUCAAAAGCACUCUACACUGUUUCCUUUCCAGAAUGUGAUGGGCCGUGAGACCUUUGGCUUAGUACACAAACAGAGGAGAUGGGGAAGAGAAAUGCUGGCAUUUUACACAGUUUAUCUUCCAUUAUUGUAUUUAAUUUUUAAAAGGACAUGGGAACCCUUUGGGAAUUCUAUCGCAGCCUGCAGUUCUGCUACCAAUUCCACAUU
Chinchilla lanigera (long-tailed chinchilla) is the source of this 1499-nucleotide long non-coding RNA. RefSeq lists it as uncharacterized. Lineage: Eukaryota; Metazoa; Chordata; Mammalia; Rodentia; Chinchillidae. The record is from RefSeq and is a predicted model, not a curated record. The transcript is spliced from 3 exons.